RNAcentral lists this ribosomal RNA (460 nucleotides) under Hypericum hirsutum. RNAcentral's name for it is "eukaryotic LSU rRNA". The stretch from base 320 to 460 matches the Rfam family "Eukaryotic large subunit ribosomal RNA", at positions 1 to 141 of the family's 3401-position model. The record is from RNAcentral. Lineage: Eukaryota; Viridiplantae; Streptophyta; Magnoliopsida; Malpighiales; Hypericaceae.
UGCAGAAUCCCGUGAACCAUCGAGUCUUUGAACGCAAGUUGCGCCCGAAGCCUUCUGGCCGAGGGCACGCCUGCCUGGGUGUCACACAUCGUCGCCCCCCAAAAUCCGAUCUCUCGCAAGGGACGAUCGGGAAGAGGAUGGGCGGAAAAUGGUCUCCCGUGCGCUCCCGUUCGCGGUUGGCCCAAAAAUGAGUUCCUGGCAAAGCAAAGCCACGACCAGCGGUGGUUGUAAGACCCUCGGUACAAGUCGUGAGCCUUGCGUUGCGAAUACGGACAUGUUGACCCUGAACGUGAUCGAGUAACUUCGAACGCUCACAAAGUGACCCCAGGUCAGGCGGGACUACCCGCUGAAUUUAAGCAUAUCAAUAAGCGGAGGAAAAGAAACUAACAAGGAUUCCCCUAGUAACGGCGAGCGAACCGGGAAAUGCCCAGCUUGAAAAUCGGACGCCCCAGGCGUUCGA